This 497-nucleotide ribosomal RNA is filed under the name uncultured bacterium. RNAcentral describes it as "partial 16S ribosomal RNA". It matches the Rfam family "Bacterial small subunit ribosomal RNA", at positions 28 to 507 of the family's 1533-position model. The record is from RNAcentral.
GAUGAACGCUGGCGGCGUGCCUAAUACAUGCAAGUCGAGCGAACAGACGAGGAGCUUGCUCCUCUGACGUUAGCGGCGGACGGGUGAGUAACACGUGGAUAACCUACCUAUAAGACUGGGAUAACUUCGGGAAACCGGAGCUAAUACCGGAUAAUAUAUUGAACCGCAUGGUUCAAUAGUGAAAGACGGUUUUGCUGUCACUUAUAGAUGGAUCCGCGCCGCAUUAGCUAGUUGGUAAGGUAACGGCUUACCAAGGCAACGAUGCGUAGCCGACCUGAGAGGGUGAUCGGCCACACUGGAACUGAGACACGGUCCAGACUCCUACGGGAGGCAGCAGUAGGGAAUCUUCCGCAAUGGGCGAAAGCCUGACGGAGCAACGCCGCGUGAGUGAUGAAGGUCUUCGGAUCGUAAAACUCUGUUAUUAGGGAAGAACAAAUGUGUAGGUAACUGUGCACGUCUUGACGGUACCUAAUCAGAAAGCCACGGCUAACUACGUG